AGCCGAACUGAGAGGUUGAUCGGCCACAUUGGGACUGAGACACGGCCCAAACUCCUACGGGAGGCAGCAGUAGGGAAUCUUCCACAAUGGACGCAAGUCUGAUGGAGCAACGCCGCGUGAGUGAAGAAGGCUUUCGGGUCGUAAAACUCUGUUGUUGGAGAAGAAUGGUCGGCAGAGUAACUGUUGUCGGCGUGACGGUAUCCAACCAGAAAGCCACGGCUAACUACGUGCCAGCAGCCGCGGUAAUACGUAGGUGGCAAGCGUUAUCCGGAUUUAUUGGGCGUAAAGCGAGCGCAGGCGGUUUUUUAAGUCUGAUGUGAAAGCCCUCGGCUUAACCGAGGAAGUGCAUCGGAAACUGGGAAACUUGAGUGCAGAAGAGGACAGUGGAACUCCAUGUGUAGCGGUGAAAUGCGUAGAUAUAUGGAAGAACACCAGUGGCGAAGGCGGCUGUCUGGUCUGUAACUGACGCUGAGGCUCGAAAGCAUGGGUAGCGAACAGGAUUAGAUACCCUGGUAGUCCAUGCCGUAAACGAUGAAUGCUAGGUGUUGGAGGGUUUCCGCCCUUCAGUGCCGCAGCUAACGCAUUAAGCAUUCCGCCUGGGGAGUACGACCGCAAGGUUGAAACUCAAAGGAAUUGACGGGGGCCCGCACAAGCGGUGGAGCAUGUGGUUUAAUUCGAAGCAACGCGAAGAACCUUACCAGGUC
This 704-nucleotide ribosomal RNA is filed under the name Lacticaseibacillus rhamnosus. RNAcentral's name for it is "bacterial SSU rRNA". It matches the Rfam family "Bacterial small subunit ribosomal RNA", at positions 285 to 980 of the family's 1533-position model. Lineage: Bacteria; Bacillati; Bacillota; Bacilli; Lactobacillales; Lactobacillaceae. The record is from RNAcentral.